This is an RNA transcript of Rhododendron vialii, 1823 nucleotides long. It is a transcript of the gene named protein ABA AND ROS SENSITIVE 1, with no coding region annotated. NCBI's taxonomy places the organism in Eukaryota, Viridiplantae, Streptophyta, Magnoliopsida, Ericales, Ericaceae. The transcript is spliced from 10 exons. The record is from RefSeq and is a predicted model, not a curated record.
ACUAAACUGGCUCAUUCGCCCUCGACCCACGCCCUCUCUCCUCCCCCGAGAACCCUAACCGAUCACCCAACUCCUCUCUCUCUCUCUCUCACCCGAAUCAACCCCAUCCUCUCUCUGAGCCUCCGGCGAUCGACUCAGGGACUCCAGACCUCCGUCGAUCGACUGUGAUACUGCAGUGGAAAAUGACUCUUUGCCUCUCAAUGGCUUUUGGUUGGAAUACCUGGAAGGUUAAGCGGACUGAAAUAGAAUAAUAUUGCUUGAUUUCAGGCUUGAGGAGAGUUGUAUCCUUUUAGUUGAAAAAGAAGCUUUGCAAUGGAUUCUCAAGCGAGAAAGAAGGCAUUGUAUCGCGCUAAAUUGAAUGCAAAUAAGGUGGAGAAGCGCAUCCAAUCUCCUCUUGUUAGGUACAAUGAAUUUGAUCAACCUGUCUGUAGGGUAUGUGACAUUGUUGUGAAAUCUGAGUCACUUUGGCCCGCACACGAGGCUUCUCGUAAACAUCAUGAGGCGAUUAAUAAUAUCAAAGCUAAUGCAGCUGGACUAACACGAGUUAACAAUGUAAAAGCCGAGUCCACUGCAGAGUUGCCUAAAUCCAAACCUGAGCAUUCUACAUAUCUGCGUGGUGCUAAAGAUAAAGCCUCUGGGGAAUUGCCCAAAGCACAUUCACCAUCGGUGCUUCCGCCAGAUUUUUUUGACAAUAAGGAAGCAAAGAGGCAAAAAACUGCCCCAAUGGAAAAUCCAAAUCCAUUCAAAAAGCCAGGAGAUUCUGCUCAAACUCGAGUGGUCGAGCCGUUGAACUCAGAGAGUACGAGAGAUGCAUUUUCCAGUGCCAAGGUUGUAGAGGAAAAAAGGAUUGAAAUUCAAGGUGACAGUGAGCAAACGUGGACAUCAAAAAUAGUUGCGGGUUCAGAGACCAAGGAAACAAAAAAGUAUCUUCCUGAAGGAUUCUUCGAUGAUAAAGAUGCUGAUCUGCGUGCACGUGGCAUUACGCCUGUUAAGAUAGAUGCCAAGGAUGAGUACAAGGAGUUCGAAAAGUUGAUCCAAGAGGAUUUGCAAGAGGUGGACAAUCGUUUGGAAGAAGAGGAGAUUGAUGCAGCUGAGACAAUAGAAGAGGCCGAGACUGAGGAACAAAAGGCAUAUUGGGAGAGAGUGGACAUGUUGAAGAAGAAGAAAAUGGAGCUAAUGGCUGCCAGAUCUGCCACACAUAGUGGAAGUCCUCGAGUCAAGGGCAGCGAAUCUAACCAUGAAGAUUCAUCAAGUGAUGAUGAUAGUGAUGAGAAUUUCACACUAAAUUGGAGAGCUAAACAUUUUGUAAAUUCUGUCAUUGCUGAUUGAAGGAAUCAAUUUGACUGCUUGUCUUUGUAAGCUUCGACCUAGACCCUGCUACGUUUAUUCAUACCUUUCGGAUGCAUAUCAAACUUAACAUUUCCAGGCUUGGGUUUUCUCUCUGCACAAUCAACUCAAUCCCUAAGGUGAUCUAGGAACCUCAAGGGCCGCUAUGGAGAUCUCCACGAACCAAAUCCGAGCCACGACCUCUAUUUCUUCCCUUGAAUUUGGUUUUAUUUAAAUGUUUAUUAUUUCCUAUGACAGAGUUAACUCUAUAGGAUAAGAUUUCUUUUUGCUGGCUUGUAAAAAUACAGGGAUGACAGGAUGGAUGGUCUGGAUUCUCUGGAGGUCUGAAAUUAGUAUACUUGUUUACCAGUUAGCCUAAACUUUGUACAUGAACAAUGACAAAACCUAUGUAGUUUUUCAAUCUUUAAAUGGUGGAUUCUUUACAAAACCUAUGUAGUUUUUCUGACAAUCAGCUAUCAAAUACUUCCUUUGUCUCA